CUAAAAGUGAAAUCGUGGCUUCUCGAAAAAGGCUACGAGAAAGUAGAAGUUGGGACAGUCGAAGCAUUUCAAGGCAAAGAGAAGCGUAUUAUCAUCGUAUCAACUGUUCGUGCGAACACUAAUAUGCUUGAGCACGACGCGAGAUACCAACUGGGGUUCCUGGUAGAUGAUAAGCGUUUCAACGUCGCACUGACUCGUGCGAAAGCCAAAAUUAUCAUCAUAGGCAAUCCCGUGUGCCUCAGUAAAGAUGUUAAAUGGCGUCUUUAUAUACAACUGUGUCGAGAAUUUGGCACAUAUUAUGGCUAUCAACAUGAAUAAUUAUGAAGAUUGAUGAACAAUUAUCGAGGACCAAUUUUAAUUGUAUUAAUAAUGACGCUAAGUGCUUUUAUUCUGUGAUAAGAUAUAUUUUUAUAUUUUUUGAUAAAACUUUGUUAUAGACAUAUUUCUUUAUGAUAUUACAUUUUUAUUAAAUAUGCUCUAUAAUGCC
Long non-coding RNA from Manduca sexta (tobacco hornworm), 487 nucleotides. RefSeq lists it as uncharacterized. The transcript is spliced from 2 exons. The record is from RefSeq and is a predicted model, not a curated record. NCBI's taxonomy places the organism in Eukaryota, Metazoa, Arthropoda, Insecta, Lepidoptera, Sphingidae.